This 253-nucleotide ribosomal RNA is filed under the name uncultured bacterium. RNAcentral's name for it is "partial 16S ribosomal RNA". It matches the Rfam family "Bacterial small subunit ribosomal RNA", at positions 524 to 776 of the family's 1533-position model. The record is from RNAcentral.
UACGUAGGGUCCAAGCGUUAUCCGGAAUCACUGGGCGUAAAGGGCGCGUAGGCGGCUCAUGAAGGCUGUGGUGAAAGUCCGGGGCUCAACCUCGGAUCGGCCGUGGCGACUCGUGGGCUGGAGCACUGUAGAGGCGGGUGGAAUUCCGGGUGUAGCGGUGGAAUGCGUAGAGAUCCGGAAGAACACCAGUGGCGAAGGCGGCCCGCUGGGCAGUGGCUGACGCUGAGGAGCGAAAGCGUGGGGAGCAAACAGG